UACGGGGGGGGCAAGCGUUGUUCGGAAUUACUGGGCGUAAAGGGCGCGUAGGCGGGUGGACAAGUCUCUCGUGAAAGCCCAAGGCUCAACCGUGGAAUUGCGGGAGAUACUGUCUGUCUUGAGUCCGGGAGGGGAGGGUGGAAUUCCCAGUGUAGCGGUGAAAUGCGUAGAUAUUGGGAGGAACACCGGUGGCGAAGGCGGCUCUCUGGACCGGUACUGACGAUGAGGCGCGAAAGCUAGGGGAGCAAACGGG
RNAcentral lists this ribosomal RNA (253 nucleotides) under uncultured bacterium. RNAcentral's name for it is "partial 16S ribosomal RNA". It matches the Rfam family "Bacterial small subunit ribosomal RNA", at positions 524 to 776 of the family's 1533-position model. The record is from RNAcentral.